UACAGAGGGUGCGAGCGUUAAUCGGAAUUACUGGGCGUAAAGCGCACGUAGGUGGCGACGUAAGUCGGGUGUGAAAGCCCCGGGCUCAACCUGGGAAUUGCAUUCGAGACUGCAUUGCUGGAGUACGGAAGAGGAAGGCGGAAUUCCCGGUGUAGCGGUGAAAUGCGUAGAUAUCGGGAGGAACAUCAGUGGCGAAGGCGGCCUGCUGGGCAGUUGCUGACACUGAGGCGCGACAGCGUGGGGAGCAAACAGG
This 253-nucleotide ribosomal RNA is filed under the name uncultured bacterium. RNAcentral's name for it is "partial 16S ribosomal RNA". It matches the Rfam family "Bacterial small subunit ribosomal RNA", at positions 524 to 776 of the family's 1533-position model. The record is from RNAcentral.